UCCGGUUGAUCCUGCCGGACCCGACUGUUAUCAGAGUGGGACUAAGCCAUGCGAGUCAACGCAGCAAUGCGUGGCAUACGGCUCAGUAACACGUAGUCAACAUGCCCAGGGGACGUGGAUAACCUCGGGAAACUGAGGAUAAACCGCGAUAGGCCAAGGUUUCUGGAAUGGAUCAUGGCUGAAACCUAUAUGGCCCCUGGAUUGGACUGCGGCCGAUCAGGCUGUUGGUGAGGUAAUGGCCCACCAAACCUGUAACCGGUACGGGCUCUGAGAGGAGGAGCCCGGAGAUGGGCACUGAGACAAGGGCCCAGGCCCUAUGGGGCGCAGCAGGCGCGAAACCUCUGCAAUAGGCGAAAGCUUGACAGGGUUACUCUGAGUGAUGUCCGCUAAGGGCAUCUUUUGGCACUUCUAAAAAUAGUGUAGAAUAAGGGGUGGGCAAGUCUGGUGUCAGCCGCCGCGGUAAUACCAGCACCCCGAGUGGUCGGGACGAUUAUUGGGCCUAAAGCAUCCGUAGCCGGUUCUGCAAGUCUUCCGUUAAAUCCACCUGCUCAACAGAUGGGCUGCGGAGGAUACUACAGGGCUAGGAGGCGGGAGAGGCAAGCGGUACUCAGUGGGUAGGGGUAAAAUCCUCUGAUCCACUGAAGACCACCAGUGGCGAAGGCGGCUUGCCAGAACGCGCUCGACGGUGAGGGAUGAAAGCUGGGGGAGCAAACCGGAUUAGAUACCCGGGUAGUCCCAGCUGUAAACGAUGCAGACUCGGUGAUGGGUUGGCUUCGAGCCAACCCAGUGCCGCAGGGAAGCCGUUAAGUCUGCCGCCUGGGGAGUACGGUCGCAAGACUGAAACUUAAAGGAAUUGGCGGGGGAGCACCACAAGGGGUGAAGCCUGCGGUUCAAUUGGAGUCAACGCCGGAAAUCUUACCGGGAGCGACAGCAGAGUGAAGGUCAAGCUGAAGACUUUACCAGACAAGCUGAGAGGAGGUGCAUGGCC
Molecule: ribosomal RNA, 988 nt
Filed under: uncultured archaeon
Lineage: Archaea
Description: bacterial SSU rRNA
Rfam family: Archaeal small subunit ribosomal RNA
Source: RNAcentral